CUGCUGGGAAGCACUAAAAUAUAAUAUACGGGGUUAUAUCAUGAAAAACGCAUCCAAAAAUAACAGAAAAAUAAAAGCUUAAUGACAGACAAAUCUAGAAAAUAAACUCGCGGAUCUUCAAAACCUAUCCCACCGCGCCCAGCCUCACGAUGAGUGCACGAUGGGUAAAAUUGUACGAACUCAAGAACAGUACGACGAUAUUAUCGAAGGCCAUAGUAAUAAGAACGUAAUAGUCCAAAGAAGAGUUCGAACUCAAGGACGGUACGACGAUAUUAACGAAAGCCAUAGUAAGAGCGCAAUAGUCCGAAGCAGAGUUCGAUGAGCAGAAUAUGGGGGUAAAAAUAACGCCUAAUUUUUAAAUCUCGAAAAACGCAGAAUGGAAAAAGGGCGAUUAUUAGACUAAAUUCAAAUGCAAAUAUAGAGACUGACCAGCAGGCUAUUUUACGGCGCCUAAAAGAAUAUUUGAAAACCCUGUAUAGUGCAAGUAAGAACCCGUGUUGCACUAGCAAAAGUAAAAUAAAAGAGUAUACAAACAGUUUAAUGUAUCCAAGACUCGAUGCAGAAAAAGCAAAAAAAAUGUGACGGUAAACUGACCGUCGGCAAAUGCUACGAAGCGCUAAAGAGCAUGCAAAACAACAAAUCUACCGGAUUAGAUCGUUUUCCGGCGGAAUUCUACAAAGUAUUUUGGAAACCCGGGGAUAUUUUCCGGCCACCCGGGGAUGAAGUAAGUUACAUUCUUACAUUCUUUCUUCUUCUUUGUUUACAUUCAAUUUUGAAUCAAUGGGGAAGAAAUUUCAGGCUGUAACCAAACCCUGGCUGGCAAGGUCACUUUCACUACUAGGGCGAGUGACGAUUAUUAAAACCCUAGCGAUACCAAACCUACUUCACAAACAACUUAGCGUGUUGCCGGUCAGUCUACCCAAACAUUUUUUUAAAUAAAUUAAUAGAAAACUAUUUACAUUUUUGUGGGGCUCCUACUGGGAAAAGUAGAAAGAAAAACACCAUACAGUAAAAUAAAUGAGGGUGGUCUGGAAAUGAUAGACCUGGAGGCGUACGCAAAAUCAAUACGUUUCUCGUAGUUACGAACACUACUAGAUAUAAAUUUUGAAUCGCAUUGGAAAAAUAUUGAAACUAAAAUUACUUUUCUGAAUGCCAUGAUUUGUGUAGCCGCCUCCGAUUUAAUACUAACGCAUAAGGAAAUCACUAAACACACGCCUCUCUCGAAAUUCUGGUCAUUGAUCGAACUAUGGAGAGAAUGGGUUAACCACAGGACAAAAAUUACAAUUGCGCUAUAUGACUAAACAAAAUAGUUCUUUUUAAACCGAAACCGAUCGCGUAUGAAAAUUUUAUACAAUCUGGUAUACUAAUGUACCAACAAAUCAUAAACAACCACUCGAACUAUUGCAGCUUUAAACAGUUAUGCGAAAAGUAUACGUUGACAAACAACAAUCAAAACUACGCGGACUACCAGCGUUUUAUUGCAGCCAUUCCAACAACUUGGGAAACUUACACGGCGGACAGACCGGACCGA
This is a non-coding RNA of Ciona intestinalis (vase tunicate), 1531 nucleotides long. Lineage: Eukaryota; Metazoa; Chordata; Ascidiacea; Phlebobranchia; Cionidae. The record is from RefSeq and is a predicted model, not a curated record.